RNAcentral lists this unclassified non-coding RNA (324 nucleotides) under Chytridiomycota sp. RNAcentral describes it as "partial contains small subunit ribosomal RNA, internal transcribed spacer 1, and 5.8S ribosomal RNA". The stretch from base 1 to 47 matches the Rfam family "Eukaryotic small subunit ribosomal RNA", at positions 1785 to 1831 of the family's 1831-position model. Lineage: Eukaryota; Fungi; Chytridiomycota. The record is from RNAcentral.
AAAGUCGUAACAAGGUAACCGUAGGUGAACCUGCGGUUGGAUCAUUAAAAAGAUCUAGCCCGAACUUGGACGAGAUCAUUCGAUCGCGUUCGACGCCGGGUUUUCUCACCUAAAAAGUGAGUCAACAUUAUGUGAACUGUUCUGUCUCUGGCGGUGGGGUGGUGUCAAAACCAUCUGUCAGCAUCCGAGUUCUCUCGGUGUGCCGUGGACAAGCCGUCAAUGGUGUAUGUUUCAUACAAACUUUUGUUUCAUCAAUCUGUCUGACAUACCCUUUGUAUCUAAAAUAUACAAAAACAACUUUUGGCAACGGAUCUCUUGGCUCCC